GGCUCGUUCGUCUAGUGGUCCAGGACAUCGGUCUUUCAAGCCGAAAACAGGGGUUCAAUUCCCCUACGAGCCA
RNAcentral lists this transfer RNA (73 nucleotides) under Gemmataceae bacterium. RNAcentral's name for it is "tRNA-Glu". It matches the Rfam family "tRNA". From Rfam's summary of the family: Transfer RNA (tRNA) molecules are approximately 80 nucleotides in length. Their secondary structure includes four short double-helical elements and three loops (D, anti-codon, and T loops). Further hydrogen bonds mediate the characteristic L-shaped molecular structure. tRNAs have two regions of fundamental functional importance: the anti-codon, which is responsible for specific mRNA codon recognition, and the 3' end, to which the tRNAs corresponding amino acid is attached (by aminoacyl-tRNA synthetases). tRNAs cope with the degeneracy of the genetic code in two manners: having more than one tRNA (with a specific anti-codon) for a particular amino acid; and 'wobble' base-pairing, i.e. permitting non-standard base-pairing at the 3rd anti-codon position. Lineage: Bacteria; Pseudomonadati; Planctomycetota; Planctomycetia; Gemmatales; Gemmataceae. The record is from RNAcentral.